UAGAAGGUAGUAUAGAGUUGGGAGUACAAAAGAUUUUGGAUUUUUUAUUGUGGGUUCGAGUCCCAUCCUUCUAG
Molecule: transfer RNA, 74 nt
Filed under: Leiolepis guttata (spotted butterfly lizard)
Lineage: Eukaryota; Metazoa; Chordata; Lepidosauria; Squamata; Agamidae
Also listed under: 1 other name
Description: tRNA-Gln
Rfam family: tRNA
About the family: Transfer RNA (tRNA) molecules are approximately 80 nucleotides in length.
Source: RNAcentral